AUGGAUCCGCGCUGCAUUAGCUAGUUGGUAAGGUAACGGCUUACCAAGGCAACGAUGCAUAGCCGACCUGAGAGGGUGAUCGGCCACACUGGAACUGAGACACGGUCCAGACUCCUACGGGAGGCAGCAGUAGGGAAUCUUCCGCAAUGGGCGAAAGCCUGACGGAGCAACGCCGCGUGAGUGAUGAAGGUCUUCGGAUCGUAAAACUCUGUUAUUAGGGAAGAACAUAUGUGUAAGUAACUGUGCACAUCUUGACGGUACCUAAUCAGAAAGCCACGGCUAACUACGUGCCAGCAGCCGCGGUAAUACGUAGGUGGCAAGCGUUAUCCGGAAUUAUUGGGCGUAAAGCGCGCGUAGGCGGUUUUUUAAGUCUGAUGUGAAAGCCCACGGCUCAACCGUGGAGGGUCAUUGGAAACUGGAAAACUUGAGUGCAGAAGAGGAAAGUGGAAUUCCAUGUGUAGCGGUGAAAUGCGCAGAGAUAUGGAGGAACACCAGUGGCGAAGGCGACUUUCUGGUCUGUAACUGACGCUGAUGUGCGAAAGCGUGGGGAUCAAACAGGAUUAGAUACCCUGGUAGUCCACGCCGUAAACGAUGAGUGCUAAGUGUUAGGGGGUUUCCGCCCCUUAGUGCUGCAGCUAACGCAUUAAGCACUCCGCCUGGGGAGUACGACCGCAAGGUUGAAACUCAAAGGAAUUGACGGGGACCCGCACAAGCGGUGGAGCAUGUGGUUUAAUUCGAAGCAACGCGAAGAACCUUACCAAAUCUUGACAUCCUUUGACAACUCUAGAGAUAGAGCCUUCCCCUUCGGGGGACAAAGUGACAGGUGGUGCAUGGUUGUCGUCAGCUCGUGUCGUGAGAUGUUGGGUUAAGUCCCGCAACGAGCGCAACCCUUAAGCUUAGUUGCCAUCAUUAAGUUGGGCACUCUAAGUUGACUGCCGGUGACAAACCGGAGGAAGGUGGGGAUGACGUCAAAUCAUCAUGCCCCUUAUGAUUUGGGCUACACACGUGCUACAAUGGACAAUACAAAGGGCAGCGAAACCGCGAGGUCAAGCAAAUCCCAUAAAGUUGUUCUCAGUUCGGAUUGUAGUCUGCAACUCGACUACAUGAAGCUGGAAUCGCUAGUAAUCGUAGAUCAGCAUGCUACGGUGAAUACGUUCCCGGGUCUUGUACACACCGCCCGUCACACCACGAGAGUUUGUAACACCCGAAGCCGGUGGAGUAACCUUUUAGGAGCUAGCCGUCGAAGGUGGGACAAAUGAUUGGGGUGAAGUCGUAACAAGGUAGCCGUAUCGGAAGGUGCGGCUGGAUCACCU
Molecule: ribosomal RNA, 1313 nt
Filed under: Staphylococcus aureus DAR1174
Lineage: Bacteria; Bacillati; Bacillota; Bacilli; Caryophanales; Staphylococcaceae
Description: bacterial SSU rRNA
Rfam family: Bacterial small subunit ribosomal RNA
Source: RNAcentral